AGAGUUUGAUCAUGGCUCAGAACGAACGCUGGCGGCACGCUUAACACAUGCAAGUCGAACGGAAUGGGGGGCUUGCUCCUCAUUUAGUGGCGCACGGGUGAGUAACGCGUGGAUAACCUGCCCUGGAAACCGGAAUAACAUUGCGAAAGCGGUGCUAAUACCGGAUAAGCCCAUGACUCUGCGGAGUUACGGGAAAAGGCGGCCUCUGAUGCAAGCUGCCGUUUCAGGAUGGGUCCGCGUCCUAUCAGCUAGUUGGCAGGGUAAUGGCCUACCAAGGCGACGACGGGUAGCUGGUCUGAGAGGACGGUCAGCCACACUGGAACUGAGACACGGUCCAGACUCCUACGGGAGGCAGCAGUGGGGAAUUUUGCGCAAUGGGCGAAAGCCUGACGCAGCGAUGCCGCGUGAGUGAUGAAGGCCUUCGGGUCGUAAAGCUCUGUCGAGGGGAAAGAAGUGUAUUUUGGUUAAUACCCUUAAUACUUGACGGUACCCCUAAAGGAAGCACCGGCUAACUCCGUGCCAGCAGCCGCGGUA
This 534-nucleotide ribosomal RNA is filed under the name uncultured Pseudomonadota bacterium. Its description in RNAcentral is "bacterial SSU rRNA". It matches the Rfam family "Bacterial small subunit ribosomal RNA", at positions 8 to 522 of the family's 1533-position model. The record is from RNAcentral. Lineage: Bacteria; Pseudomonadati; Pseudomonadota.